This is a non-coding RNA of Trametes maxima, 97 nucleotides long. NCBI's taxonomy places the organism in Eukaryota, Fungi, Basidiomycota, Agaricomycetes, Polyporales, Polyporaceae. The record is from the annotation of a GenBank genome assembly.
GAACCCUUGGCGCAGUGGUAGCGCGUAUGAUUCCAGCUUGAGUACUUGGUACUCUCGGGUGUCCAUAAGGUCGUCCGUUCAAUCCGGGCAGGGUUCA